GACGAACGCUGGCGGCGUGCCUAAUACAUGCAAGUAGAACGCUGAAGAGAGGAGCUUGCUCUUCUUGGAUGAGUGGCGAACGGGUGAGUAACGCGUAGGUAACCUGCCUUGUAGCGGGGGAUAACUAUUGGAAACGAUAGCUAAUACCGCAUAACAAUGGAUGACACAUGUCAUUUAUGUGAAAGGGGCAAUUGCUCCACUACAAGAAGGACCCGCGUUGGAUUAGCUAGUAGGUGAGGUAACGGCCCACCAAGGCAACGAUACAUAGCCGACCUGAGAGGGUGAUCGGCCACACUGGAACUGAGACACGGCCCAGACUCCUACGGGAGGCAGCAGUAGGGAAUCUUCCGCAAUGGGGGAAACCCUGACGGAGCAACGCCGCGUGAGUGAAGAAGGUUUUCGGAUCGUAAAACUCUGUUAUUAGGGAAGAACGGGUGUGUAAGUAAAAAUUCCCGCCUUUACCGGAACUAAUCAGAAAGGCAACGCUAAAUACCGU
Molecule: ribosomal RNA, 496 nt
Filed under: uncultured bacterium
Lineage: Bacteria
Description: partial 16S ribosomal RNA
Rfam family: Bacterial small subunit ribosomal RNA
Source: RNAcentral